GACGAACGCUGGCGGCGUGCUUAACACAUGCAAGUCGAACGGAAAGGCCUCUUUCGGGGGGUACUCGAGUGGCGAACGGGUGAGUAACACGAGAGUAACCUGCCCUUGACUUUGGGAUAACUUCAGGAAACUGGGGCUAAUACCGGAUAGGAGCUCCUGCUGCAUGGUGGGGGUUGGAAAGUUUCGGCGGUUGGGGAUGGACUCGCGGCUUAUCAGCUUGUUGGUGGGGUAGUGGCUUACCAAGGCUUUGACGGGUAGCCGGCCUGAGAGGGUGACCGGCCACAUUGGGACUGAGAUACGGCCCAGACUCCUACGGGAGGCAGCAGUGGGGAAUAUUGCACAAUGGGUGGAAGCCUGAUGCAGCAACGCCGUGUGCGGGAUGACGGCCUUCGGGUUGUAAACCGCUUUUGCUCAUGACGAAGCUUUGUGUGACGGUAGUGGGUAAAGAAGCACCGGCUAACUACGUG
Molecule: ribosomal RNA, 467 nt
Filed under: uncultured bacterium
Lineage: Bacteria
Description: partial 16S ribosomal RNA
Rfam family: Bacterial small subunit ribosomal RNA
Source: RNAcentral